UACGGAGGGGGGCUAGCGUUGUUCGGAAUUACUGGGCGUAAAGCGCACGUAGGCGGCUUUGUAAGUUAGAGGUGAAAGCCCAGGGCUCAACCCUGGAAUUGCCUUUAAGACUGCAUCGCUUGAACAUCGGAGAGGUAAGUGGAAUUCCGAGUGUAGAGGUGAAAUUCGUAGAUAUUCGGAAGAACACCAGUGGCGAAGGCGACUCACUGGACAUGUAUUGACGCUGAGGUG
This 231-nucleotide ribosomal RNA is filed under the name uncultured bacterium. RNAcentral's name for it is "partial 16S ribosomal RNA". It matches the Rfam family "Bacterial small subunit ribosomal RNA", at positions 524 to 753 of the family's 1533-position model. The record is from RNAcentral.